AGACAUUAAUCUUAAGUAUCCAGGGAGCCCUAAAACAUUGUAUCCCACUAGCAAGGACCAUGGUAAUUGCCACGUAAAUCCCCUCCAUUAUGUGGCCCUUAUUAUGACCAGCCAGCCAAGGCUUGCCUUUAAAUCAUACCAAUUGAACCGAGCCUUGUAGAAACACUAUCACCUACGCAUACCUCUGCUUCUUUUCAUUAACCUGCUAUCCUCUUUACAAAUGGGAUUCUUCACCCACUCCCUUCUUCUAGAUUAGCAAUGCCCUGUUAAGUAAACGAACACGAAAUUCAAAGGGAAACAGGAGCAAUCAUCAUUACCAGCUGCCGUGUUAAGCAUUGCGAAAACGCUCACGAUUCACAGAAAAAUCCAUGCUGUUCUUUGAAGGCAUUCAAGCCUUAAUAGCUAGCUGGAUGAAUGUUUAACUUCUAGGCCAGGCACUACUCUGUCCCAACAAUAAGCCCUGUACAUUGGGAAAGGUGCCGAGACAUGAACUUUGGUCUUCUCUGCAAUCCAUCUGGAGCAUUCACUGACAACAUCGACUUUGAAGUUGCACUGACCUGGCCAGCCCUGCCACUUACCAGGUUGGGCUGUGGCUUGCCUUUUCACUUCUUGUGUCCUGUUUAAGAAAUAUCUGCUAUCCCAAGAUUGCAAACUCCUAGAGAAGGGCUCAACAGUGAGUGCUGAGGCUGCACAGAGGAGGAAGGCAGCACAAUGAUGGAAGGCUUCCUAAAGAGAUAACACUAACAAAGUUGACCUUAGAAUUGGAGUGCCUGGGUUAGAACCCUGCUGGUACCACCUGCUUACUGCAUGCUUCUGAUGUGAGUUCAGGAGAAGACACUGGCAAGGACAGCAAAGAACAGGAGAACACUCUAGCUUCCCUGAUAGCAUUCAAGGUGCUGUCCAAACUGACUGUGAUGGCACCCUCCAGACAGACAGCGAUGCCACAUGUUCAAGAUGGCAGAAUCACUAUCAGCUUCAAUUCCUGAAUGACUGCAGAGCAAAAUUUCUUACCUGCAACAUACACUCUAUUUUCAGCCUCCCUGGACUGUUACAUAAUGAUACAUAAAAAUAUUUCUUGUGUUGAGGCAUCCCAAAUUUGAUUUAUUUGUCAUCACAGUCUAUCCUAUGAAUAUAUUUCUGAUCCAAAUAAUGCUAGAUUCAUGAGAGUUUAUAGUCCAGAGAUUUUUUUUUUUUUUUUGAGACAGAAUCUGUCUCCCAGGCUGGGGUGCAGUGGCAUAAUCUUAGCUCACUGCAACCUCUGCCUCCCGGGCUCAAGUGAUCCUCCCUCCUUAGCCUCCAUGAGUAGCUGGGACCACAGGUGUGCACCACCACACCCCGCUAAUUAUUUUGUAUUUUUUGCAGAGGGGGGUUUCACCACAUUGCCCAAGCUGGUCUCAAACUCCUAGACUUAAGGGAUCUGCCUGCCUUGGCCUCCCAAAAUGCUGAAAUUACACUUGUUAGCCAUAGUAAUAGUUCCUAGCCAUAGUCCGGAGAUAUUUUAAAAACUUUAGUGUGAGUUAUUUCUCUUUGCUAUAAUUCUCUCAUGCAUUUUGAAAACCUUUUCUGCCAUACAGUGGUUUUUGGGAAGUCCUUUUGGACAGACAUAUCACAGGAUGGAGAAACUAAAAAGAGAGAAUGCAUUAAAGAAAAAAUAGUACUUCGUAUUUCAGAAAUUACAAAAGGGUGUCAUGCCCCACAGCAUGGUGGGCAGUCAUUUGUAACCCACAGAACAUUGAGUUUCUAAAAUUUGAGUGUUUUUAACUUACGAAGGCCAACUUUACUGAUGAAGUGAUUACCCCAAAUAUGUGAAAUCCAUAUUUCAAGUACAAUAGUAGGAAAUUGGAAAUGGAUAGUUCAUUGUCAGUGUAUGAAAAACCUACUGAUUUUUUACGUUGAUUUUAUAUACUGCAACUUUAUUGAAUUCUCAACAAAUGGUGUUGAAAAAACUGGAUGUCCUCAUGAAGAAGAAUGAAAUUGAACACAUCACAUCCCAUAUACAAGAAUCAACUCAAAGUGGGUUGAAGACUUAAAUAUAAGAUCUGAAACUAUAAAACUAUUAGAAAUAAAAAACGUAAGAGGAAAGCUCCACACACUGAUCUGGACAAAGAUUUUUUUGACCAUGACCCUAAAAGCACAGGCAACAAAAACAAAAAGAGACCAUUAAUCUAUUAGUUAUUGUAUUGCAUCAAACUAAAAAGCUUACGCACAGCAAAGGAAACAAUUUACAAAAUAAAGAGACAACCCAUAGGUUAAGAGAAAAAUAUGUGCAAAUAAUACAUCUGUUAAGGGGCUCUAAUAUCCAAAAUACAGAGAGAAAUUAAACAACUCAAUAAUAAGAAAACAAGUGAUUACAUUAAAAAUAGUCAAAUGACUUGAACAGAUAUUUCUCAAAAGAAGACACAUAAAUGGCCAGUGGGUUAUUAAUAACAAAGCCCAAUAUCCCUAUCACUAAUCAUUGGGGAAAUGCAAAUUGAAACCACAAUUAAAUAUCACCUCAGAUCUGUCAGAAUGGCUAUUAUCAAAAAGAUGAAAUUUAAAUGUUGG
RNAcentral lists this long non-coding RNA (2544 nucleotides) under Homo sapiens (human). RNAcentral describes it as "PREDICTED lncRNA (TCONS_00257609)". The record is from RNAcentral. Lineage: Eukaryota; Metazoa; Chordata; Mammalia; Primates; Hominidae.